Molecule: ribosomal RNA, 226 nt
Filed under: uncultured bacterium
Lineage: Bacteria
Description: partial 16S ribosomal RNA
Rfam family: Bacterial small subunit ribosomal RNA
Source: RNAcentral
GCGGCGGACGGGUGAGUAAUGCCUAGGGAUCUGCCCAGUCGAGGGGGAUAACGGCUGGAAACGGCCGCUAAUACCCCAUAUGCCGAGAGGUGAAAUGAAUUUCGCCUGAGGAUGAGCUCGCGUCUGAUUAGCUAGUUGGUGUGGUAAAGGCUCACCAAGGCAUCGAUCAGUAGCUGGUCUGAGAGGAUGAUCAGCCACACUGGGACUGAGACACGGCCCAGACUCC